RNAcentral lists this ribosomal RNA (509 nucleotides) under uncultured bacterium. Its description in RNAcentral is "bacterial SSU rRNA". It matches the Rfam family "Bacterial small subunit ribosomal RNA", at positions 28 to 527 of the family's 1533-position model. The record is from RNAcentral.
GACGAACGCUGGCGGCGUGGAUUAGGCAUGCAAGUCGAACGGUAUCAUCCUUUCGGGGGUGAGAGAGUGGCGAACUGGUGAGUAACACGUAGGUUAUCUACCCUCAAGACGGGGACAACCCAGGGAAACUUGGGCUAAUACCGGAUGUGAGCAACUUUUAGUUGUUUGAAAGGUGGCGUAAGCUGUCGCUUGGGGAUGAGCCUGCGUCCUAUUAGUUAGUUGGUGAGGUAACGGCUCACCUAGGCAAUGAUAGGUAGGCGGCCUUAACGGGUGGUCGCCCACACUGGGAUUGAGAUACGGCCCAGACUCCUACGGGAGGCAGCAGUCGAGAAUAGUCUACAAUGGUCGGAAGACUGAUAGUGCGACGCCGCGUGAACGAUGAAUCCCUUCGGGGUGUAAAGUUCUUUUAUAUGUGAGCAGUGCUUCUUAUAUUAACAGUAUGGGGAGAGAGAUAUUAGCAUAUGAAUAAGCAACGGCUAACUCCGUGCCAGCAGCCGCGGUAAUAGACG